UAGCGAAACGCCCCCACGCGGGGGCGUCUGCUGGGCGUGGUGGCCCAGCACUGAUGAGCAGCCAAUG
This 67-nucleotide non-coding RNA is filed under the name Halomonas llamarensis. Lineage: Bacteria; Pseudomonadati; Pseudomonadota; Gammaproteobacteria; Oceanospirillales; Halomonadaceae. The record is from RNAcentral.